This 409-nucleotide ribosomal RNA is filed under the name bacterium enrichment culture clone ALO1_GLFRUDD03GVEEC. RNAcentral's name for it is "bacterial SSU rRNA". It matches the Rfam family "Bacterial small subunit ribosomal RNA", at positions 9 to 417 of the family's 1533-position model. The record is from RNAcentral.
GAGUUUGAUCAUGGCUCAGAUUGAACGCUGGCGGCAUGCCUUACACAUGCAAGUCGAACGGCAGCACGGGAGCUUGCUCCUGGUGGCGAGUGGCGAACGGGUGAGUAAUGCAUCGGAACGUAUCCUGGAGUGGGGGGAUAACGUAGCGAAAGUUACGCUAAUACCGCAUAUUCUGUGAGCAGGAAAGCGGGGGACCUUCGGGCCUCGCGCUCUUGGAGCGGCCGAUGUCGGAUUAGCUAGUUGGUGAGGUAAAGGCUCACCAAGGCGACGAUCCGUAGCAGGUCUGAGAGGAUGAUCUGCCACACUGGAACUGAGACACGGUCCAGACUCCUACGGGAGGCAGCAGUGGGGAAUUUUGGACAAUGGGGGCAACCCUGAUCCAGCCAUGCCGCGUGAGUGAAGAAGGCCU